This 48-nucleotide non-coding RNA is filed under the name unclassified sequences. The record is from Rfam.
UACGUUCAUCCCACAGGGACGGAAGUAGCGAAAGCGAAGGAACGCACU